This 243-nucleotide ribosomal RNA is filed under the name uncultured bacterium. RNAcentral describes it as "partial 16S ribosomal RNA". The record is from RNAcentral.
CUGCUGCCUUCCGUAGGAGUCUGGGCCGUAUCUCAGUCCCAAUGUGGCCGGCCAACCUCUCAGUCCGGCUACUGAUCGUCGCCUUGGUAGGCCGUUACCCUACCAAUUAGCUAAUCAGACGCGAGGCCAUCUCUCAGCGAUAAAUCUUUGAUAUAUCUGCCAUGCGACAAACAUAUAUUAUGCGGUAUUAGCAGUCGUUUCCAACUGUUGUCCCCCUCUGAAAGGCAGGUUCCUCACGCGUUA